Culex quinquefasciatus (southern house mosquito) is the source of this 976-nucleotide long non-coding RNA. RefSeq lists it as uncharacterized. The transcript is spliced from 2 exons. Lineage: Eukaryota; Metazoa; Arthropoda; Insecta; Diptera; Culicidae. The record is from RefSeq and is a predicted model, not a curated record.
CCUUUUCUCAUCAAACUGCUCGAUUUUUUUUUGACAACAAGAACUGUCAAGUGCAACUGACAGUUCUCGCUGUCAAAUGAUUCAAGCAGUUUGUUUGGAUAGAUUUUGUACCUUUUCACAACUGUAUUUCGCGGAACGGAUUCUUUUUCCGGAAAAAAGCAACCUUUGCGCGAAGAAGCGGUUCACAAAGCGCCUCUACCGAAGAGCCCUCACACGGGGUCGCUUAUAUUUCAUCGCAGAACACGUUUCCGCUGGCCCUAAAUGGCAUAAUUCCGGAGGAAAACUUCUAUGUCCGGGGCUGCAGAACUGUAGCCCGGAAUUGACGUGGUUUUCGAAGGAUAACGUGACGAUUCCAAGCAAAGCAAAACUGUUAACAGCCGGUGCUUUUUCCGGCGAAAAAAAGCUCUAGGCUGAAAGGUGUCUGUAUUAGCAGUUCCGCUUCAUCCUCCUUCGCAGAAAGCCUCCCUCCUCGGUCAAGACGGACAGCCAGAACAGACCGGCAGGAUUCAAACCAUCGAAAACAACUCCGAGACAGCGAUCUGUUUUCGGCGAAGCAAUCCCGGACGCCCCAUUUUAGGAAAACUCGACGUUGGACGUCAAACCAGCUCCAGAACCGCAUUCUGGUGCUGGAAUGCGAACUUUCCCAGUGGGGUAACGUGGACUUUUCCCGGUUGGCCCGAUUGCGGACGCCACCAUCACACCAACAUCCCCGCUCCAGCCGAAGCCGGCGACGCAAUCAGAAUAUGGCAGGUGGCCAGGAAUCUCCGGCUAUGGUAUACGUCUUCGAUCGGGAACCUGCCGUUAGGUAAUUCGACAGGUUUCACAAAUUCUCCUUCCGCACACGUCCGCGACGGAACCAGCUGAAUCCUCUGACGGAGCAUGAAACGCUUGAGGACAAGUGCCUAAAAUGCAGGAUACGACUUCGGAAAUAUUAUAAAUAGAGAACAAAUUAAAAUAAAGAACAGUUUCAAACAAA